GGGUAAUUUUCCGCAAUGGGCGCAAGCCUGACGGAGCAAUACCGCGUGAGGGAGGAAGGCUCUUGGGUCGUAAACCUCUUUUAUCAGGGAAGAACACAAUGACGGUACCUGAUGAAUCAGCAUCGGCUAACUCUGUGCCAGCAGCCGCGGUAAUACAGAGGAUGCAAGCGUUAUCCGGAAUUAUUGGGCGUAAAGCGUCCGCAGGUGGUUUUGGUAGUCUGCUGUCAAAGCGCGAGGCUCAACUUCGUAUCGGCGGUGGAAACUCCAAGACUAGAGCUAGGUAGGGGUCACGGGAAUUCCCAGUGUAGCGGUGAACUGCGUAGAUAUUGGGAAGAACACCAGCGGCGAAAGCGCGUGACUGGGCCUGAGCUGACACUCAUGGACGAAAGCUAGGGGAGCGAAAGGGAUUAGAUACCCCUGUAGUCCUAGCCGUAAACGAUGACAACUAGGUGUUGCCCGUAUCGACCCGGGCAGUGCCGUAGCCAACGCGUUAAGUUGUC
This 500-nucleotide ribosomal RNA is filed under the name uncultured cyanobacterium. RNAcentral's name for it is "bacterial SSU rRNA". It matches the Rfam family "Bacterial small subunit ribosomal RNA", at positions 356 to 869 of the family's 1533-position model. The record is from RNAcentral. Lineage: Bacteria; Bacillati; Cyanobacteriota.